GUGGGAUGGGGGCAGUUGAGGGGUGAGAGGAAGAGGACAUUGCAAGGGGAUUGAGUCGCCUGCCCCUCCCGGGCGGGCUGGCCUAUAACUGAAGGCAUCUUCCAGGGAUGGAAGAUCCCUGCACGACCCUCUCCUUCUUCCUGUCAGUCCCCCUCCACAAUUUCUCCUGGGUGACGGUGCCACUCCUGAGGAACCCCCAAGCCCCUCCCUCACUUGUGUCUGUGUGUGGGGGAAUAUUUUUAAAACCCUCUGAGUUAUCCCCAUUUGCAUGUGCUCUCUGUUUCUCAUCAGGUCUCCUACUAACCCUGGACCCACUAGCAGACCCGCUGACCCUCACGGCGUCUCCACCUUGAGAGUGUUCUGGAAGGGCAGGAGGAAGCCAACACCAGCCCAUCUGUUGCUGGAAUAACAUCACUUUGAUCCAAGGUACUUAUAUAACUUCCAUAUGGUUGUUUAUUAUUAAGUGCAUUAAACACAUACAUAUACACACUAC
Molecule: long non-coding RNA, 493 nt
Filed under: Capra hircus (goat)
Lineage: Eukaryota; Metazoa; Chordata; Mammalia; Artiodactyla; Bovidae
Description: lncRNA (ENSCHIG00000008204.1)
Source: RNAcentral